Molecule: RNA transcript, 2114 nt
Organism: Cavia porcellus (domestic guinea pig)
Lineage: Eukaryota; Metazoa; Chordata; Mammalia; Rodentia; Caviidae
Gene: Dpys
Gene name: dihydropyrimidinase
Exons: 11
Source: RefSeq, a predicted model, not a curated record
CAGGACAGCAGGGGGCGGGGCGCCGCGGGCCUCUAAGCCCCACAGGUCAGGGUCUCGGGCGCAGUCUGGGUUCGGCCCGAGGGAGCAGCGAUGUCGCGGCUGCUGGUGCGCGGGGGCCGCGUGGUGCACCCCGACUACUCAGAGGAUGUCGACGUGCUGGUGGAGGACGGCCUGGUGCGCGCGCUCGGUCGGGGGCUGCGGGCACCCGCAGGGACCCGCGUGCUGGACGCGGCAGGGAAGCUGGUGCUGCCCGGGGGCAUCGACCCCCACACGCACAUGCAGCUGCCCUUCAUGGGCACCUGUUCCGCUGACGACUUCCUGCGAGGCACCCAGGCUGCUCUGGCGGGAGGCACCACCACCAUCAUCGACUUCGCCAUCCCUCCAAGGGGCGGCUCUCUCCUGGACGCCUUCGACACCUGGCGGCGCUGGGCCGACCCCAAAGUCUGCUGCGACUACAGCCUGCACGUGGCCGUGACCUGGUGGAGCGAGCAGGUCAAAGAAGAAAUGGCCAUCCUGGCCCGGGAGAAAGGUGUCAGCUCCUUCAAGAUGUUCAUGGCCUACAGGGACCUGUUCAUGGUGCGGGACCCAGAACUGUACGCUGCCUUCGAGCAGUGCAAGGAGAUUGGAGCUGUCGCUCAGGUCCACGCAGAAAACGGAGACAUCAUCGCAGAGGGGGCCAAGAAGAUGCUGGCACUGGGCAUCACAGGCCCCGAGGGCCAUGAGCUGUGCCGGCCGGAGGCCGUGGAGGCAGAGGCCACCCUGCGGGCCAUCACGCUGGCCGAUGCGGUGAACUGUCCCCUCUACGUGGUGCACGUGAUGAGCAAGUCUGCAGCCACAGUCAUAGCGGACGCCAGGAGAGAUGGGAAGGUGGUGUACGGGGAGCCCAUAGUGGCCAGCCUGGGCACCGACGGCACUCACUACUGGGAUAAAGAAUGGAGCCACGCGGCCCACCACGUCAUGAGCCCACCCCUGCGGCCCGACCCCUCGACGCCAGGAUUUCUCAUGAACCUGCUGGCUAACGACGAUCUGACCACGACAGCUACUGACCACUGCACCUUCAACACCUGCCAGAAAGCUCUUGGGAAGGACGACUUUACCAAGAUCCCCAACGGGGUGAAUGGUGUGGAAGACCGGAUGUCCGUCAUAUGGGAAAAAGGCGUGCAUAGUGGUAAAAUGGAUGAAAACCGGUUUGUGGCGGUCACCAGCACGAAUGCAGCCAAAAUCUUCAAUCUUUACCCGAGGAAAGGAAGAAUAGCCGUGGGGUCCGACGCGGACAUGGUGAUCUGGGACCCGGACGCCACGAGGACCAUCUCGGCCAAGACUCACCAUCAGGCUGUGAACUUCAACAUCUUCGAGGGCAUGGAGUGCCACGGCGUGCCGCUGGUGACCAUUUCCAGGGGCCAGGUGGUAUACGAGGCCGGAGCGCUCAGCGUUGCCCCAGGCCACGGGAAGUUUAUCCCACGCAAACCGUUUGCUGAGUAUGUCUACAAGCGGAUCCGGCAGCGAGACCAGGUUUCCAGCUUAGGGAGCCAGAGUGCAUUCGAAGCAGGCGACCCGGCCACAGAACCCGGGCUGCUGACCCACGGAGUUGGAGUUGCUGCCUCUGGCUGCUGACUUGCACACCCACCCCUGUGGAGCGGGCACCCUACAAGGGAGAAGUCAUCACCCUGACAUCUGGCCAGGCACCAGAGGACACCACAGUGGGGACCGGGAGGCAGGCCACCUCCUAAUCCAGGUGCUGGGGUGAAAUCAGGGGAGGCACCUCGGCUCCCUUCCUGGAGAAGAGAGGUCGCCGGUCUCAGCACCCUGAGGAUCUUCGGGAACGGCUGCUCCAGCCUCUUGGAUGUCCUUUCCGAGUGACCACUAGCUUCUUGCCACACCUCUGUCACUGUGGUGAGACGGAGACAGAAACGAGUGCCACUGCCAUGGGACGCCUGCGUGACAGUUCUGAUCGGGACUGUCAGCCGCCGUCCUUUGCCAGCACUAGUUUCUUUCUCUGGCUUUUUAAAAAUCACUUCUUGUUUAAAGAUUUUUAAAUGGCUAGUUUGUUUUAAACUAGAGCUGCAGUGUUGCCUCUGGUGUAAUUAAUAAACCUUGAGAUCCUCACAUCUGAA